CUACGGGAGGCAGCAGUGGGGAAUCUUAGACAAUGGGCGCAAGCCUGAUCUAGCCAUGCCGCGUGUGUGAUGAAGGUCUUAGGAUCGUAAAGCACUUUCGCCAGGGAUGAUAAUGACAGUACCUGGUAAAGAAACCCCGGCUAACUCCGUGCCAGCAGCCGCGGUAAUACGGAGGGGGUUAGCGUUGUUCGGAAUUACUGGGCGUAAAGCGUACGUAGGCGGAUUGGAAAGUUGGGGGUGAAAUCCCAGGGCUCAACCCUGGAACUGCCUCCAAAACUAUCAGUCUAGAGUUCGAGAGAGGUGAGUGGAAUUCCAAGUGUAGAGGUGAAAUUCGUAGAUAUUUGGAGGAACACCAGUGGCGAAGGCGGCUCACUGGCUCGAUACUGACGCUGAGGUACGAAAGUGUGGGGAGCAAACAGGAUUAGAUACCCUGGUAGUCCACACCGUAAACGAUGAAUGCCAGUCGUCGGGCAGUAUACUGCUCGUGACACACCUAACGGAUUAAGCAUUCCGCCUGGGGAGUACGGUCGCAAGAUUAAAACUCAAAA
This 548-nucleotide ribosomal RNA is filed under the name uncultured bacterium. RNAcentral describes it as "bacterial SSU rRNA". It matches the Rfam family "Bacterial small subunit ribosomal RNA", at positions 339 to 906 of the family's 1533-position model. The record is from RNAcentral.